RNAcentral lists this ribosomal RNA (474 nucleotides) under uncultured bacterium. RNAcentral's name for it is "bacterial SSU rRNA". It matches the Rfam family "Bacterial small subunit ribosomal RNA", at positions 335 to 799 of the family's 1533-position model. The record is from RNAcentral.
ACUCCUACGGGAGGCAGCAGUGGGGAAUAUUGCACAAUGGGGGGAAACCCUGAUGCAGCCAUGCCGCGUGUGUGAAGAAGGCCUUCGGGUUGUAAAGCACUUUCAGUAGGGAGGAAGGUAGUGUAGUUAACACCUGCACUAUUUGACGUUACCUACAGAAGAAGCACCGGCUAACUCCGUGCCAGCAGCCGCGGUAAUACGGAGGGUGCGAGCGUUAAUCGGAAUUACUGGGCGUAAAGCGCAUGCAGGCGGCCUGUUAAGUCAGAUGUGAAAGCCCGGGGCUUAACCUCGGAAUUGCAUUUGAAACUGGCAGGCUAGAGUCUUGUAGAGGGGGGUAGAAUUUCAGGUGUAGCGGUGAAAUGCGUAGAGAUCUGAAGGAAUACCAGUGGCGAAGGCGGCCCCCUGGACAAAGACUGACGCUCAGAUGCGAAAGCGUGGGGAGCAAACAGGAUUAGAUACCCUGGUAGGAUAGCG